This 53-nucleotide transfer RNA is filed under the name Benibotarus nigripennis. RNAcentral describes it as "partial tRNA-Ser". The record is from RNAcentral. Lineage: Eukaryota; Metazoa; Arthropoda; Insecta; Coleoptera; Lycidae.
AUUGAAAUAUCCCUAAAAGCUUCUAACUUUUUAUUAAGCAAUAAUAUGUUUAU